GGAAGGGUGGGGGGUAGCCUCUCUGUUCCCUCUCAGCAGACUGACAUGUUUGGGCAGAGAUGUCUGGAGACAGUGGGAGGGCUGGGGAGCAGGUCCACGUGUGCAAGAGAAGAAGACAGAGGCAUGCGGAGGGGCCGCCAUGAGAUAAGAGAGGGAUUGCUUCUUUUCCCGUUCCACAGAUGUUUAGACCGAGGCUCUGCGACACUAAAGGAUUUCCCCGAUGUCCCAUAUCUGUCUUUAGGGGAGGCCGCAAGGCACGGACGCCUUCCCACCUGCGAGAGUAGACUACCAAGAAGGAAGCUUGAUUUCUCAAUGGCUGAAAGACGCUGUGGAGGCUGGGAGCUGGCGCAGCACCUGGAAAAUAAAUCAUGAUCAACACACGGAGAGGGACAUACAGUGCAUACAGAGUGGGUGGGUGAUAUAUGGAAGAGGGUGAAUGAUUGCACAGGUGAGGGGGCGGGGGAUGCAUGGGGGCUGUGGGCGAGCAGGUAGGUGGGUAAGGAAGUAGGUGGGACGUGUGGAUGGGUACGUGGGCAGAGUUUGAAUGGACGGGUGGGUGCAUGGGUGAACGGUUGAAUGAUAGAUUGUAAGGUGGUUGGAGGAUGGUUGGAUGGAGAUGGAUGGGACAGUGGGUGGAUGGUGUGUGAGCAGAUUUGUGGCAGGAAUCUUGGAGCCUGUAGGUGCCUUUAGAAGACCGGCUAUACACAGGGAAUGAAUUUUCCAUGGUUUUGGCCAGUUCUCAAUCAUUUGGACUGAUGGAGAGAAACCAUGUCAUGGAAGAAUCUAGAAGAUGCUGAUUGGACUCAACCCGAUUUAUGUCAUACUUGGGAGGGUGGGAGUGAGCAACGGGCUCUCACCUAUGAAGUCUGAGGGUCUGUGCAUUUGUGACCUGUCAGUCACACAGGCAGAUGUGGCUUGUCUUGGGAGCCCAGCUUGGACUCUUCUCUUGCUCGCCGACACUUUCCUUGCUCCUGCGCUGGGAAGGACGGCCUCUCCUCCCAGAUGGACACAGAGUGCCGAUGGCACUGCCAUGAUUCUCCCGCAUCUGUCUCUGGUGGGCUCCCUCCUCCCCCAGAGUCAGGGAAAGGUGACCAGACUUUCUGGGGGUCCAGUGUUUCUUUCAAGUUUUCUUGAGGGUAGUCAGCACGGAGAGGCUCCGAGUCAUGGAGGUUGGCCUGGCAACUGCCAAGUGGUGUGAUGGGGUCAGGAAAUUAAUAGCAGCAAAGCUCCCCUUACAACAGAAGGGGGACAGUGGCGAAAGCUCCCUGAGCUGUUCCCUGGAAUGAGGGGAGGCUACCAGGAGCUGUAGCAAGACCCAGAGCGCAAGGGUGCCUGGGUGGCUCAGUCAGUUAAGCGUC
Long non-coding RNA from Mustela erminea (ermine), 1358 nucleotides. RefSeq lists it as uncharacterized. NCBI's taxonomy places the organism in Eukaryota, Metazoa, Chordata, Mammalia, Carnivora, Mustelidae. The record is from RefSeq and is a predicted model, not a curated record. The transcript is spliced from 3 exons.